RNAcentral lists this transfer RNA (72 nucleotides) under Phrynosoma platyrhinos (Desert horned lizard). RNAcentral's name for it is "tRNA-OTHER". The record is from RNAcentral. Lineage: Eukaryota; Metazoa; Chordata; Lepidosauria; Squamata; Phrynosomatidae.
GCCAGCAUAGUACAGUGGUUGGAGCAUUAGAUUAGGACUCUGGAGACCAGGGUUCAAAUCCUGGCUUAGCCA